GGCACCCUUCAGGUCGACCUCCAUCGCCUUCGCUGCCCUCCUGCACCUCUCGGACCAACCUAGGUUAGUUCUGGAACCCUUCUUUUUUUUUGCUGUUCUUCCAUUUUCUCUCCUUUGCAUUCUGCCCAUUCGGAUUCUCUGUGAGCGCCUUGUUUCCUAUUUUUUUCAAUUUUUUUGAGAUUUUUUGGGGUUCUCAUUUGAUUCAAAAUGUCCUCCAACACUUCCUCC
This 228-nucleotide long non-coding RNA is filed under the name Elaeis guineensis (African oil palm). RNAcentral's name for it is "long non-coding RNA (EGUI_LNC042739)". Lineage: Eukaryota; Viridiplantae; Streptophyta; Magnoliopsida; Arecales; Arecaceae. The record is from RNAcentral.